This is an RNA transcript of Triticum aestivum (bread wheat), 1473 nucleotides long. RefSeq lists it as uncharacterized. The transcript is spliced from 7 exons. Lineage: Eukaryota; Viridiplantae; Streptophyta; Magnoliopsida; Poales; Poaceae. The record is from RefSeq and is a predicted model, not a curated record.
CUCUCGCCCGCCUCUCCUCUGCUCUCGUCGCCGGUCUCUCCUUUCCUCCCAAGAACGCCGAACUCUCCUUUCCCCCCUGUCGUCGCUAGCUUCCUCCCACGGCGUGACCCCGUUUUCUCCCACGGCGGGCGCCAGAAAUCCAACAUGCCGAGGUCAAAAGACUACCUUUUUAGCACCGGCGACGAGCUUCUGGGCGGCGGAGGCGCUGGGUUCGUGUGCGCUAGCGCUGGAUCCGCACGCGUCGAUGAUGGAUCCGCGUGCCCCGACGCCGGUGACGAAGUCGCGCUGGAUGUGGAGCAGCGUCGCGGCGGCGGAGCAACGGAGCUGCAGCGGCGGGGCGACAGUGGAGCGCCUACUCACGAGCUGAACCUCAAGACAAUUGGAUUUAUCGCCGGGCUAGUGCUAUGCUUGAAGUCACUGGUCAUCGCCUCAUGGAGUCAUGGGCGACGGGGCCCUCUAGAGUUCACGCAGAGUUAUCUCGAAUUGAUGGGGGAUAUUCAGUGUUUAUUCAGCCACACUUGGUGUCUUGUGUUUGAUCUCUUUGCAAUGCAGUAACGGCACGACACCCUGAAUCACCCACAUCGUGGGAGGACACCUGACACAAGGUGGAGUGCAGUUGAGGUCUGGGACAACCAUCUUCCGUUGCUUUCAGGUGAAUACAAGUGGACAGUUUGUUGGUGUUGCUGAAAUGACUGGUCCUGUUGAUUUUGAAAAAACUCUAGAGUACUGGCAACAAGACAAGUGGAAUGGUUAAUUCUCUGUCAAGUGGCACAUUGUCAAGGAUGUUCCCAACAACAUUCUCAAGCACAUCAUCCUAGAGAACAACAAGGGCAAACCGGUCACAAACAGCCGUGACACACAGGAUGUGGUGUCGACGGAGGCGCGGGCGAUGCACAAUGUGGGGUUGGCAGGGUUGACCUUCUGGAGCCCCAACAUCAACAUCUUCCGGGACCCGCGGUGGGGCCGGGGCCAGGAGACGCCCGGCGAGGACCCGCUGCUGGCCAGCAAGUACGCCGUCGGAUACAUCACGGGCUCCAGGACGCCGGCGCCGGCGGCGUCACCGACGGCGCGCUCAAGGUCGCCGCAUGCUGCAAGCACUACACUGCCUACGACGUCGACAACUGGAAGGGCAUCGAGCGAUACACCUUCAACGCAAAGUUUGUUUCCAGCGACAGCAGAGAGAUGUACUCCAGCAGAGGAUCAAAUGAUCAGAGAGAGGAGAUGAACCUGCCCAGCAGCAGCCGAGCCCAGCAGCAGCCCCUGGACGUGGGAGAGGAGGAGCGCCUGCGCCUGGAUGUAGUGGCCGGAGGUGGGUACGGAGGUGGAGGUGGAGGAACAACCUGUGCUCGCCUCCACCUGGGCGCGGGCCAGGAGGAGCCCCUGUGCGUGGGCGGCAGCAGAGUACCAGCUCUACUCCAGCGGCGGUAGCGCCUGGGCAGGGGGCAGGGGGCAGAGGAGGUGGAGGGCGGAGGU